RNAcentral lists this transfer RNA (74 nucleotides) under Aeriscardovia sp. RNAcentral describes it as "tRNA-Ile". It matches the Rfam family "tRNA". Rfam says of the family: Transfer RNA (tRNA) molecules are approximately 80 nucleotides in length. Their secondary structure includes four short double-helical elements and three loops (D, anti-codon, and T loops). Further hydrogen bonds mediate the characteristic L-shaped molecular structure. tRNAs have two regions of fundamental functional importance: the anti-codon, which is responsible for specific mRNA codon recognition, and the 3' end, to which the tRNAs corresponding amino acid is attached (by aminoacyl-tRNA synthetases). tRNAs cope with the degeneracy of the genetic code in two manners: having more than one tRNA (with a specific anti-codon) for a particular amino acid; and 'wobble' base-pairing, i.e. permitting non-standard base-pairing at the 3rd anti-codon position. Lineage: Bacteria; Bacillati; Actinomycetota; Actinomycetes; Bifidobacteriales; Bifidobacteriaceae. The record is from RNAcentral.
GGGUUUAUAGCUCAGUUGGUUAGAGCGCAUCCCUGAUAAGGAUGAGGUCGGAGGUUCAAGUCCUCCUAAACCCA